RNA transcript from Antechinus flavipes (yellow-footed antechinus), 1038 nucleotides. It is a transcript of the gene named small nuclear ribonucleoprotein U11/U12 subunit 25, with no coding region annotated. The record is from RefSeq and is a predicted model, not a curated record. The transcript has 8 exons. Lineage: Eukaryota; Metazoa; Chordata; Mammalia; Dasyuromorphia; Dasyuridae.
UCUUCGGCAGGCCCGCCCUUCUCCACAGUUUCCCUGCUGCUUCUUUGGUGGCGUUCGUCGGAACUUUUCUGUUGAAGACUUGGAGAUGGAGGACUGGGUUGAGGAGAAGCAGUCGGUCGCUAAGGAAGAAGUGGAGGCUGCGAGCAGCGGGGGCGGCGGGGAAGAAGAGGACGACGAAGAGGAGGCGCUGCCUCACGCCGAAGUGGUGGAUGUGUUUCAGGAGGGGCUAGCCAUGAUCGUUCAGGAUCCGCUACUCUGUGACCUGCCUAUCCAGGUCACCUUGGAGGAGAUAAAUUCUCAGAUAGCUCUGGAAUAUGGCCAAGCAAUGACUGUCAGAGUAUGCAAAGUGGAUGGAGAAGUGAUGCCUGUUGUCGUGGUGCAAAAUGCCACAACCUUGGAUCUGAAGAAAGCUAUUCAGAGAUAUGUACAGCUCAAACAGGAACGAGAAGGAGGCAUUCAGCAUAUCAGCUGGUCAUAUAUAUGGAGAACAUAUCAUCUCACUUUUGCUGGAGAGAAGCUAACUGAAGAUGCAAAGAAACUUCGAGAGUAUGGCAUUCGAAACCGAGACGAGGUCUCCUUUAUCAAGAAGCUGAGAAACAAAUGAAGUAAUGCUUAAGAAGGACCUGUAAACAGGAGCAGCCUUCUGAAGAAAUAAGGAUGCAGGAGGCUACCAGGAAUAGAUCAUCUUCUCAUUCAGGGAUCAAGCAGUUCAGAUCCAGUUUUGCUGCCAUGCUGAGAUCUUUUCAAGCAGCCCUGAGUAUGACUAGGAAGGAGCAGGAUGACAAAUGGGGCCAUUUCCCAGGGAAUAAAAGACUUGGUAUUUGGAUCUUGGGCCUUGGGCGCAACCUUCCUAGCAUCCUCAUGUUCUCACUGUGCUUGCCAUUUAUCCUUCCUCUGUACUUGAUGAUGGAUCUUUAUUUUGUGUAAAAGAAGAGCCUAUUUCUGUUGAUGAGGAAACAUGUGAGUCAUGGUGAGAUGAGGCAGGGCCAGGCCGGACUGCCAAGUGCAGAAGCCUGGGAGGUGGGCAAGAUUGGCCAG